This is a long non-coding RNA of Oncorhynchus masou masou (cherry salmon), 227 nucleotides long. RefSeq lists it as uncharacterized. The transcript has 3 exons. Lineage: Eukaryota; Metazoa; Chordata; Actinopteri; Salmoniformes; Salmonidae. The record is from RefSeq and is a predicted model, not a curated record.
CCACUACCUGCCCUUCCACCUGGGGAGAAGACACUGCUCCGUCCUGCUCGUCAGCCAGCAGGUUGGUGAGCAGGUGUAUCUUGUGGAGGGGACAGCAGAUCUUCCCCUGUCCUCCCCUCUGACCACAAAGCCCAGUCCAAAUGUAGUCCAUGUUAGCAGCGCCACCUCUGAUGGUGCUGAUCCCAGGCCUGCGGUGAACCUGCGUUGCGGCGUGGGCAGCACCCUGG